UUUCGCAAUGCCCGAAAGGGUGACGAAGCGACGCCGCGUGUGGGAAGAAGGCCUUCGGGUUGUAAACCACUGUCGGGAGUUAGGAAAUGCAGGUGCGUUAAUAGCGCACUUGCUUGACUAAGGCUCCAGGGGAAGCCACGGCUAACUCUGUGCCAGCAGCCGCGGUAAUACAGAGGCGGCAAGCGUUGUUCGGAAUUAUUGGGCGUAAAGAGCACGUAGGCGGCCUUGCAAGUCAGUUGUGAAAGCCUUCCGCUUAACGGAAGAACGGCAUCUGAUACUACAGGGCUUGAGUACGGGAGGGGAGAGUGGAACUUCUGGUGGAGCGGUGAAAUGCGUAGAUAUCAGAAGGAACGCCGGCGGCGAAAGCGACUCUCUGGUCCGAAACUGACGCUGAGUGUGCGAAAGCUAGGGGAGCAAACGGGAUUAGAUACCCCGGUAGUCCUAGCCGUAAACGAUGGGCACUAAGUAGAGGGGUUUU
This 478-nucleotide ribosomal RNA is filed under the name uncultured Planctomycetales bacterium. RNAcentral describes it as "bacterial SSU rRNA". It matches the Rfam family "Bacterial small subunit ribosomal RNA", at positions 364 to 832 of the family's 1533-position model. Lineage: Bacteria; Pseudomonadati; Planctomycetota; Planctomycetia; Planctomycetales. The record is from RNAcentral.